This 72-nucleotide transfer RNA is filed under the name Taenia laticollis. Its description in RNAcentral is "tRNA-His". Lineage: Eukaryota; Metazoa; Platyhelminthes; Cestoda; Cyclophyllidea; Taeniidae. The record is from RNAcentral.
UUACUAAUAGGUUAUUUAAACUAAUAGAUUGUGGUUCUAUUGAAUACUUUGUAUAAAUACAGUAUUAGUAAA